RNAcentral lists this ribosomal RNA (253 nucleotides) under uncultured bacterium. RNAcentral describes it as "partial 16S ribosomal RNA". It matches the Rfam family "Bacterial small subunit ribosomal RNA", at positions 524 to 776 of the family's 1533-position model. The record is from RNAcentral.
UACGUAGGGGGCAAGCGUUGUCCGGAUUUAUUGGGCGUAAAGAGCGUGUAGGCGGCUUGACAGGUCUGCUGUGAAAACUCGAGGCUCAACCUCGAGAUGUCGGCGGAAACCGUCUGGCUAGAGUCCGGAAGAGGAGAGUGGAAUUCCUGGUGUAGCGGUGAAAUGCGCAGAUAUCAGGAAGAACACCUAUGGCGAAGGCAGCUCUCUGGGUCCCUACCGACGCUGGGGUGCGAAAGCAUGGGGAGCGAAUAGG